UACGUAGGGGGCAAGCGUUGUCCGGAAUCAUUGGGCGUAAAGCGCGUGUAGGCGGCUCGAUAAGUCCGUUCUGAAAGUCCAGGGCUCAACCCUGGGAUGCGGAUGGAUACUGUCGAGCUCGAGUCCGGAAGAGGCGAGUGGAAUUCCUGGUGUAGCGGUGAAAUGCGCAGAUAUCAGGAGGAACACCGAUGGCGAAGGCAGCUCGCUGGGACGGUACUGACGCUGAGGCGCGAAAGCGUGGGGAGCAAACAGG
This 253-nucleotide ribosomal RNA is filed under the name uncultured bacterium. Its description in RNAcentral is "partial 16S ribosomal RNA". It matches the Rfam family "Bacterial small subunit ribosomal RNA", at positions 524 to 776 of the family's 1533-position model. The record is from RNAcentral.